AGUGAACGCUGGCGGUAGGCCUAACACAUGCAAGUCGAACGGCAGCACAGUAAGAGCUUGCUCUUACGGGUGGCGAGUGGCGGACGGGUGAGGAAUACAUCGGAAUCUACUUUUUCGUGGGGGAUAACGUAGGGAAACUUACGCUAAUACCGCAUACGACCUACGGGUGAAAGCAGGGGAUCUUCGGACCUUGCGCGAUUGAAUGAGCCGAUGUCGGAUUAGCUAGUUGGCGGGGUAAAGGCCCACCAAGGCGACGAUCCGUAGCUGGUCUGAGAGGAUGAUAAGCACAACUGGACUUGAGAAACGGCCACGCCCCGUAGGGGAGGAAGCAGUGGGAAAUAUUGGAAAAGGGGGGAAAGCCUGAUCCAGCCAACCCGCUGGGGUGAAGAAGGCCUUCGGGUUGUAAAGCCCUUUUGUUGGGAAAGAAAAGAAGAAGGUAAAUCCCCGGUUGUCUUGACGGAACCCAAAGAAUAAGACCCGGCUAACUUGGU
This 491-nucleotide ribosomal RNA is filed under the name uncultured bacterium. RNAcentral describes it as "partial 16S ribosomal RNA". It matches the Rfam family "Bacterial small subunit ribosomal RNA", at positions 29 to 506 of the family's 1533-position model. The record is from RNAcentral.